UACGGGGGGGGCAAGCGUUGUUCGGAAUUACUGGGCGUAAAGGGCUCGUAGGCGGCCAACUAAGUCGGACGUGAAAUCCCCAGGCUCAACCUGGGAACUGCGUCUGAUACUGGAUGGCUUGAAUCCGGGAGAGGGAUGCAGAAUUCCAGGUGUAGCGGUGAAAUGCGUAGAUAUGCGGAGGAACACCGAUGGCGAAGGCAGUCCCCUGGGCCUGUACUGACGCUCAUGCACGAAAGCGUGGGGAGCAAACAGG
This 253-nucleotide ribosomal RNA is filed under the name uncultured bacterium. RNAcentral's name for it is "partial 16S ribosomal RNA". It matches the Rfam family "Bacterial small subunit ribosomal RNA", at positions 524 to 776 of the family's 1533-position model. The record is from RNAcentral.